Molecule: ribosomal RNA, 116 nt
Filed under: Bacillus subtilis
Lineage: Bacteria; Bacillati; Bacillota; Bacilli; Caryophanales; Bacillaceae
Also listed under: 17 other names
Source: RNAcentral
UUUGGUGGCGAUAGCGAAGAGGUCACACCCGUUCCCAUACCGAACACGGAAGUUAAGCUCUUCAGCGCCGAUGGUAGUCGGGGGUUUCCCCCUGUGAGAGUAGGACAUCGCCAGGC